UCCGUAGGUGACCUGCGGAGGGAUCAUUACCGAGUUUACAACUCCCAAACCCCUGUGAACAUACCUAUACGUUGCCUCGGCGGAUCAGCCCGCGCCCCGUAAAACGGGACGGCCCGCCCGAGGACCCUAAACUCUGUUUUUAGUGGAACUUCUGAGUAAAACAAACAAAUAAAUCAAAACUUUCAACAACGGAUCUCUUGGUUCUGGCAUCGAUGAAGAACGCAGCAAAAUGCGAUAAGUAAUGUGAAUUGCAGAAUUCAGUGAAUCAUCGAAUCUUUGAACGCACAUUGCGCCCGCCAGUAUUCUGGCGGGCAUGCCUGUUCGAGCGUCAUUUCAACCCUCAAGCUCAGCUUGGUGUUGGGACUCGCGGUAACCCGCGUUCCCCAAAUCGAUUGGCGGUCACGUCGAGCUUCCAUAGCGUAGUAAUCAUACACCUCGUUACUGGUAAUCGUCGCGGCCACGCCGUAAAACCCCAACUUCUGAAUGUGACCUCGGAUCAGGUUGAAUACCC
This 511-nucleotide ribosomal RNA is filed under the name Septogloeum mori. RNAcentral describes it as "eukaryotic LSU rRNA". The stretch from base 178 to 331 matches the Rfam family "5.8S ribosomal RNA". Lineage: Eukaryota; Fungi; Ascomycota. The record is from RNAcentral.